GACAGAGGGUGCGAGCGUUGUCCGGAAUCACUGGGCGUAAAGGGCGCGUAGGCGGCCUGAUAAGUAGGGGGUGAAAUCCUGUGGCUUAACUGCAGGGCUGCCUCCUAGACUGUUAGGCUCGAGCACGGUAGAGGCAGAUGGAAUUCCCGGUGUAGCGGUGGAAUGCGUAGAGAUCGGGAAGAACAUCGGUGGCGAAGGCGGUCUGCUGGGCCGUUGCUGACGCUGAGGUGCGAAAGCGUGGGGAGCAAACAGG
Molecule: ribosomal RNA, 253 nt
Filed under: uncultured bacterium
Lineage: Bacteria
Description: partial 16S ribosomal RNA
Rfam family: Bacterial small subunit ribosomal RNA
Source: RNAcentral